GAAGAGCGAGAGAGGGAGACUGAGAGUGAGCACGGUGUGUCCUGAGUGAGAGUUAGAGUUUUAAAAAGUUAAGAGAAACAAAUGCUCAAACUAAUGUGAGAAACGGAUAGUGACUCGUAGCAUCAACCUUGUGACAGUGAUAGUUUUACAUUGUGUUUGCCUGUCCUGUAUGACUCAUAAAGAGUUCUGUAGCAGCCGAGUGAGAUCCAUCUAAAGCUAGUUCAGCACUGAAGUUAGCUUUGCGCUGGGGAAGGAGAAAUUAGACUGUUCGAGAGAGCUGCCAGCCCGGCCAUUCAUUUCAACCGUCAGUCCGUCAGCGAAGUAGCCGUUUGUUUAAGGCUCCAACACUCUCUAGCCUCAACACAGGCCUGCUCAGUGCACUGGAAAACUGGUUGGGUACCCACAAUUUGGUUUAUUUGUUUAUAUAUGAGGUAAUUUACAUGCCGGCUUAGAAAUAGUAGUUCAACGAGUAUAUUGAGGUUUUACGGUAAUCGGUUGCUAAGCUAAGCUAUGCUAAGCUACGCAUGGGUUUGAAUGUGUUUGAGGGAAGGCUAAGCUACGCAUGGGUUUGAAUGUGUUUGAGGGAAGGCUAAGCUACGCAUGGGUUUGAAUGUGUUUGAGGGAAGGCUAAGCUACGCUUGGGGUUGAAUGGGUUUGUCAAUUGAGGGGAGGCUAGGCUAAGCUACGCAUAGCUCCGAAGGUAUUGAACUGAGGGAAGUGACUGGACGCAGUCCAUAUCGAAUUUGUUGUUUGUGGUUUAUAUUUUUGUGUACCUGUACAUGUAUACUCUUUGAAUAAUAGUUUAAAGUAAAUGGUUAAAAGUUAUUCCCUUGUGUAGUGUCAUUUCAGUAGAUUACUGCUUGGGUAAAUGGUGUAUAGUUAACCAGUGUCUAUCGUUAUAAAAAUAGUAUUAGGUAAAUGGUGUAUAAUUAACCUAAAUAGAGUUGUAUAGAGAUAUACAUUUAUUAGCUGUGACUUGUAUUGGGCUAUUAAACAGUAGUCAUAACCUGCUUAAAUAAUAGUGUAGCAUAAUUACAUCUUUAAUUACAUCCAGAAACAGUUUAAGAAUUCGGGCAGCUCACUCCAAUAACAUAGCUAGGACAGCUAGGGGGCACUACAUAUACCAAAACAUUAACCUUCUGAAUAGCCACUUAAAAUGUAAAUUAUUUAGAAUUUAUGCUUUUAUGAGUUUCUACAAAAUGUAGAUUGCUAUAUACAUUCUGUAUAUUUGAAUUAAAAUCGCUUCAGAAUUAAGAGAAUCACAACCGUUUACAAUGUUUAAUUUACCACUCUGAUGUGAUGCAUAGUUCACUGAGGUAUGUAAUUUCUUUAUCUGUUGUUAAUGCACUAGCUAGUUGGCGCUAGCUAACUGUUUCAUACAGUUUGGCUGUUCUAUGGCACUAAUUAAUCUUGCAAUGUGUGUCUUACAUUAUGUCACAGCUGCAAACAUAAGUGAAGAAAUGGUCAGCACUCUGUCUCGUGAAGACCUGCGGGACCUUUUCCCAGGCCCAGAGAACUUCUUGCGACGAAAAGCGGUCUGGCGAAUCUGUCAUGGUGUUUCAGAAGAGGAAACUGGCAGAGAAGACUCAAAAUCAACAUGCAGUUCUACUUCUAUUAAUGGGUCACCCCUACCUCAGACAUCCACUCCAGUGAAAAGAUGUCCUGCAAAGCACACAACACCUGAAAAGGUUGUGAAGUUAUCCUUCCCAGAAUAUGUUUUGCACACUGACACCGAACUAGAGCAAGUUCGAAAACAAUAUUUUGAGUUGGCGAAGACCGGUGAAGAGAGCAACUGCCAAAUUUCGAAGGACCUCAGAUGUCGGCUCAUCCGAAACACCAUGACCACUAUGAUCGCAAUCCUGAGGGCUAAGGGGGACGGAGACAGAUACCCGUCAAAGCCGGAAAUUACAGCUAUGGCAAAGAGAAUAGUGCUGUACUACCCAAUGGUGCAGGACCGAGACCUGAGCAGCAAGAAUGCAUGGGUUACUGUGUACUCUCAGCUUUACAAAAGAUUGCAAAAUGUGAGAUCUCCCCAAAAGACCAAUCCAAAGAGGCGCCGACUCGAGGAGCCAACGUGCCAACCUGAGCUGCUAAGUGACCCAGAUGAAUUACAUUCAAGUGACUCAACAGUCAUUCUGGAUCGCUCCUCACAAGGGAGUAGCAUUCAAGACUUCCCUUCUGAAGGGAGUAGCACCCCAGACUUAGGCAGCAAUGCCAGACCUAUUCUGGAUCGCUCCUCACAAGGGAGUAGCAUUCAAGACUUCCCUUCUGAAGGGAGUAGCACCCCAGACUUAGGCAGCAAUGCCAGACCUAACAUGCCCGCAGACAUCAACACUCCAGACACAGACAGUCCAGCAACUAUGGCCAAGCACUACAGAACCCUACAAUCUUUGUUUAAGAAGAACAAUCCCAACCGUGCGUCCGUCUCUCAGCUCCUGGAUUUGGAAUUUGCAGCCAGAAGAGCAUUCAUUGACUGAUUCUUUUCGCGAGGAGGACAGACACAAUACAAUUCUAGAGGCGUAUCCUUGUUUCAAGGACAUUGGACAUGUGAUGGAGGAGCUUCAACGCAUUCUGGACAAAAAUAACAUCCACUACAUUAACGAGCUGAAGGGAAGAUGGGACAACUUCUGCCAGAAGGUGCAGUUUUUUGGUGUGUGGAAAAAGCUGCUGAAACCCCCAAUAGGAAUGGACAAAGUUGAACAGGCUCUCAGUAUCCUACGUGUGCUGCCUUCAUUGUUCCCUUCUUCAUCUGCUCCUCCGAAGAAGUUAGGACAUGCGAGUGAGGCUCUGGUGCAUGUCCUUGAGGAAAAAGAAGACCCCAAUGACUGCUUGAAGAAACGCCGUCUCUCCUGUCCAGUCCUUAUUGUGAGUUCAUCCAACUGCCUCCUGGCUGUAGGAGAGGUGCCAAUAACUACGCUCCCAAAAGACAAGGUUACAGAGGGUGUUUUAUACCUUAUGGCCUACUAUUAUGCUUUACACCUUACUUACCCCAGGUGCGUAGCCACUCUGCUUUCUGUCAUACAAACGGAGGUCCUCUUGGACACAAUCCAUGAGCGAGACCUCACACCAUCUUUCAAGAAAGGCAUGGCUGAAUGGAAAGCUUUUGUUGGCAAGUAAAGCCGUUUCCCUUCGUAUUUGUCGUAUUCGCAAAUUUAGCCCAAUGUUAAGGUUGCAAUAGUACGAAUAUAAUAAUAAUUUUGUUGAUAUAUUGAGGGACACAUUGCCCAGAUAUUCGUUGUAAGCCCAAGACCCUUAACUUGGAUGUUCCAAUAAAAAGCAGUUUUGUAAUUGUAUUGAGAUGUCAGAUGUCCAUGAGAGAAAAUAAAAUAUGUUUUUGUUUAAUGCCAGACUUGUUUUCAUUGAAGUAUGUGGUUUUCUUAAAUCUAGAACAGUAUCACUAUUGUAGAGCUAACAUUAAGUUAAAUUCACUUGAAUUGUGUCUUAUUAUGAUACAAAAGCACUUCUUAUGAGUGAAAAAAAUGCAUAAUAUGAGUAUUUCCAGCUAAUUUUAGGACAUUUUAUCCUAAAAUGCUUAAAUAAUCCCUUUCUAAUCUUAUUUCAAGUUGGUGGUGGUCUAAAAUCUAGGACAAUGUCACUAUUUUAGAACUUAAAAUGAGUAAAAUACACUUGAAUUGAGAUGAAUUGUGUCUUAUACAAAAGCACCUCUUAAUAUGAGUAAAAAAAUGCAUAAAAUGAGUAUUUCCAGCUAACUUUAGGACAUAUUUUAUCCUAAAAUGCUUAAAUAAUCCCUUUCUAAUCUUAUUUCAAGUUGGUGGUGGUCUAAAAUCUAGGACAAUUUCACUAUUUUAGAACUUAAAAUGAGUUAAAUACACUUGAAAUAAGGGGGAUGCUAUGAACAGUGAAAAAACUAAAAAGCUACUUUUGAGGGAAAAAUGCUACUUUUGAGCAUUACCAGCUUAUUAUGAUACACAACACUUUCUAAUACUAGUCAAAUAUAGCUCAAAAUAAGUUUUCCUGGCUAAUUUCAAGAUCACUUUUAUCGCAAAAGUCCUAAAUAUUACAUCUUAUUUCAAGAAAUCUUGACAAGCCGAUUUUCACUAGUUCCAUUGGCAGAUUUUUUUUGCUUGUUUCAAGCAAAAUCGUCUUGUAUUUGUUUUUUUUUAACUUAUUU
RNA transcript from Gadus chalcogrammus (walleye pollock), 4132 nucleotides. RefSeq lists it as uncharacterized. Lineage: Eukaryota; Metazoa; Chordata; Actinopteri; Gadiformes; Gadidae. The record is from RefSeq and is a predicted model, not a curated record. The transcript has 8 exons.